GAGAAGGAUUACACUUGAACUGCUAACUCAACACACCAGAACUAACCCCCUGGCCUACUCA
Molecule: transfer RNA, 61 nt
Filed under: Cyrtopodion scabrum
Lineage: Eukaryota; Metazoa; Chordata; Lepidosauria; Squamata; Gekkonidae
Description: tRNA-Ser
Source: RNAcentral